This is a long non-coding RNA of Cornus florida, 565 nucleotides long. RefSeq lists it as uncharacterized. The transcript has 3 exons. The record is from RefSeq and is a predicted model, not a curated record. NCBI's taxonomy places the organism in Eukaryota, Viridiplantae, Streptophyta, Magnoliopsida, Cornales, Cornaceae.
UUGAUUACAUUCUCUUAAAUGAAUUCUCACUUUUUUGUUUGCUUUUCCAGGAAGGAUAAAUAAUAAGCUGACAAUGAAACGAACGGUUAGUGAAGUCGAAAAAGUGAGUGAACAAAAUACCGAAGCUUCAACUUCAAAAUCAUCCCAUCGCCGAAGAAGAGACGGGGCCUGACCGAUGCAAAAAUGUCGUAAACACGACAACCUUAUUACCAUUAAGGUUAAGUGGACAGCCGAUCGGCCUUGGAAGUGGUACAUAUACUAAUUAUUUGGCAACACUUGCUCGGAAUGGUAUAUUAGCUCCUUUGUGCUACAAAACUUGGUGGGAGAUGCCUAAAUGGCUUAAAGAGGAUGUGGAACAUUGUAAAGGGAAAGUAUGAUGUGAGAAUCAUGUCAAAACAGUGGACAUUAUCCUCCAUCGAAAAAAAAUGGAGGGGGCAUAAGUGUGAAUUAAAAAGUGAAUACUACUCGGUUAGGGAUACAAAUGCAGAAAGAUUGACAAACCCACCACCUAAUGUUGAAAAGGAGCAUUGAGAGUUUUUGGUUAGGCAUUGGGGUAUGCCUAUUG